This 253-nucleotide ribosomal RNA is filed under the name uncultured bacterium. RNAcentral describes it as "partial 16S ribosomal RNA". It matches the Rfam family "Bacterial small subunit ribosomal RNA", at positions 524 to 776 of the family's 1533-position model. The record is from RNAcentral.
UACGUAGGGCGCAAGCGUCGUCCGGAAUUAUUGGGCGUAAAGAGCUCGUAGGCGGUUUGUCGCGUCUGUCGUGAAAGCUUGGGGCUUAACCCCAAGUCUGCGGUGGAUACGGGCAGACUAGAGGCAGGUAGGGGAGAACGGAAUUCCCGGUGUAGCGGUGAAAUGCGCAGAUAUCGGGAGGAACACCGGUGGCGAAGGCGGUUCUCUGGGCCUGUACUGACGCUGAGGAGCGAAAGCGUGGGGAGCAAACGGG